UAGCUCAGUGGGUAGAGCAUGAGACUCUUAAUCUCAGGGUCAUGGGUUCAGGCCCCAU
This 58-nucleotide transfer RNA is filed under the name Cricetulus griseus (Chinese hamster). It matches the Rfam family "tRNA", at positions 8 to 63 of the family's 71-position model. From Rfam's summary of the family: Transfer RNA (tRNA) molecules are approximately 80 nucleotides in length. Lineage: Eukaryota; Metazoa; Chordata; Mammalia; Rodentia; Cricetidae. The record is from Rfam by way of RNAcentral.